CAUCCCUUCCACCCUGCCAUUCCCUGGUCCUUUGGGCUCAGAUAUGGCUGUUCCUGAUCCUGCAGGAGAAAAGGAUGGUCUGGGCUCUGAGGAUGCCUGUUCAGAAGAGCCUGAGCCAGAGGGAGAGAGCCUGAGGGCCUGGAAAGGAAUGUCAGGGGAGUGACCACAUCUGUGGCAACCAGGCCUGUGUCCUGUCAGGACUCUGCACCUGUACUUGCUCUUUGUUCCAAAGAUGCUGUUCCACACAGUCCUCAGUCCUGGUGUACCUCUUCGUUGUGGCUAGAUUGAAACACACUGGGUAGCACUUUGCUAAAUGAAAAGUCCACACUAAUUCAGACAGCAAAGGCAUUUGUCAAGGGACCAAGUGGACUGGCACCCAAAAAAAUGACUCUGCCCGUCCUGUCUGGCUGGUCAGCUACCCCAAGG
Molecule: long non-coding RNA, 426 nt
Organism: Zonotrichia leucophrys gambelii
Lineage: Eukaryota; Metazoa; Chordata; Aves; Passeriformes; Passerellidae
Exons: 4
Source: RefSeq, a predicted model, not a curated record